CUAGUAUGCCUUGAAGUUAAAACGAAAUCUCGCAGAAAUUGUAUGUGGUUUUUCUCGGGCGUAGCACGAAGAAAGAAGCAAGAAAAACUUACGUGGCAGCCAGUUCUUGGAUUAAAACGAAGAUUUGAAGGCUAUAGAUUCCACAAAAAACAUUUCUUUCGCCAAAUCUGAUACAUAGGCAACAAUUAUUGAAUCCUUUCUGCCAGCAAGCAAGGAGCAGUGUACCAACCGAACCAAAUAUGAGUUUAUACUAAAAGUGAGGAAUUUAUCAGAGUACCAGCGCAUACAUCCUUUGGUCCUGUUCAACAUACCACCGAUUGUUCUCAGAUAUCGAGUAAAAUUGUGAAAAUUUUGGAUAGAGUUAGGAGUUUUCUUCCUAUUUUAGUUUUUAGACGUCAAAUUGCACUGGAUAAGCCCACCUGAUAUAUCAACUCACUUUGAGCCGAGCGGUUAAAAAGCACGCACCUUAAAGAUGAAUGCAAAUAAAAUGCGGCACAGCUUGUUCAACUAUCAAAGGAAUAAAUAUGCAUCGAAAGGCGAACCGUGUGCAGAACACUUCACCACAAAACAAAAAACAA
Long non-coding RNA from Anopheles merus, 578 nucleotides. RefSeq lists it as uncharacterized. Lineage: Eukaryota; Metazoa; Arthropoda; Insecta; Diptera; Culicidae. The record is from RefSeq and is a predicted model, not a curated record. The transcript is spliced from 2 exons.